AUGAUAUCUUGCGGGAAGCGUUGCCUCCAUAGCGCCAUGGCUUCCUCGUCCAUCUCGGCCAGGCUGAGACGGCGCUCCCGCCUUCGGUUUUUGCGCCGAUCCUCGUCGGUGAUAAGCCGCGGGAAAGGAGCCAACUCUUGUGCCCGCUCUGGCGUCGCCACGUCGGUGAAGUUCAUGUCCCAGCGGGACCGCCGGAGGCGCCACGCCGCAGCGUCGUACGCGCGGGCGCCGUCCUGGGCGGUGUCGAAGGUUCUGAGGCCGAGCGCACGCCACCGCCCAACCGGAUCGAGGCGGAGUAGGUGCCGGACGGACGCACGCGGACGCCGCGAAAGCCCGAACCUCCCCGGCGGCGAGGCGGCAUGGUGGCGCCGUGGUGUCGUAUUGGCGGCGAGAAAAGAAAGCGCUAGAGCGAGCGAGAGAGAGCGGCAGAGGCGCCGCAAUUUAUAG
RNAcentral lists this ribosomal RNA (447 nucleotides) under Triticum aestivum (bread wheat). Its description in RNAcentral is "partial small subunit ribosomal RNA". The record is from RNAcentral. Lineage: Eukaryota; Viridiplantae; Streptophyta; Magnoliopsida; Poales; Poaceae.